Molecule: ribosomal RNA, 118 nt
Filed under: Chinchilla lanigera (long-tailed chinchilla)
Lineage: Eukaryota; Metazoa; Chordata; Mammalia; Rodentia; Chinchillidae
Source: RNAcentral
GUCUGUGCCAUACCACCCUGAAUGCACCCAAUCAUGUCUGAUCUCGGAAGCUAAGCAGGGUCAGGCCUGGUUAGUACUUAGAUGGGAGACUGCCUGGGAAUACUGGGUGCUGUAGGCU